This 301-nucleotide ribosomal RNA is filed under the name uncultured bacterium. RNAcentral's name for it is "partial 16S ribosomal RNA". It matches the Rfam family "Bacterial small subunit ribosomal RNA", at positions 509 to 807 of the family's 1533-position model. The record is from RNAcentral.
CAGUCGCCACGGUAAUACGGAGGGUGCAAGCGUUAAUCGGAAUUACUGGGCGUAAAGCGCACGCAGGCGGUUUGUUAAGUCAGAUGUGAAAUCCCCGAGCUUAACUUGGGAACUGCAUUUGAAACUGGCAAGCUAGAGUCUUGUAGAGGGGAGUAGAAUUCCAGGUGUAACGGUGAAAUGCGUAGAGAUCUGGAGGAAUACCGGUGGCGAAGGCGGCCCCCUGAACAAAGACUGACGCUCAGGUGCGAAAGCGUGGGGAGCAAACAGGAUUAGAUACCCCGGUAGUCCCUGUCUCUUAUAC